Molecule: long non-coding RNA, 291 nt
Filed under: Marmota monax (woodchuck)
Lineage: Eukaryota; Metazoa; Chordata; Mammalia; Rodentia; Sciuridae
Source: RNAcentral
CCCGCAGCAGCCGCCCCUCUCCUCCUCCCAGCCCGCUGCUGCCCCCAGGCUCGGCGCAGCGCCGCCUGUCCCAAGGGAACGGCGGGCGCACCUGGCGCCGCGGGCGGGCGCCUGGGCACUGCGCGCGGGUGGCCCCAUCGCCUGGCGCGCAGCUGCCGGCGCGCUCCCUCCCGAAACCCCGAAGUGGAGUGGCUUGUCUAGCGCCCGGCGAACAACAUUAUCCAAUUGCUUCCCGUUUUAUUCGCAGGCUGGGAGCCGAGAAAGCCUGAGCGUUCACUUUCAACCCUCCCG